This 440-nucleotide ribosomal RNA is filed under the name uncultured Glomus. RNAcentral's name for it is "SSU rRNA". It matches the Rfam family "Eukaryotic small subunit ribosomal RNA", at positions 569 to 1009 of the family's 1831-position model. Lineage: Eukaryota; Fungi; Glomeromycota; Glomeromycetes; Glomerales; Glomeraceae. The record is from RNAcentral.
AGCAGCCGCGGUAAUUCCAGCUCCAAUAGCGUAUAUUAAAGUUGUUGCAGUUAAAAAGCUCGUAGUUGAACUUCGGGAUCAAUUGAUAUGGUCAUGCCUUGGUAUGUACUGUUCAUAUUGGUUCUCACCUUUCUAAUGAACCAUAAUGUCAUUUAUUUGAUGUUAUGGGGAAUUAGGACUGGUUACCUUGAAAAAAUUAGAGUGUUUAAAGCAGGCUCACGCUUAGAAUACAUUAGCAUGGAAUAAUGAAAUAGGACAUCGCAUUCUAUUUUGUUGGUUUCUAGGAUCGAUGUAAUGAUUAAUAGGGAUAGGUUGGGGGCAUUAGUAUUCAAUUGUCAGAGGUGUAAUUCUUGGAUUUAUUGAAGACUAACUACUGCGAAAGCAUUUGCCAAGGAUGUUUUCAUUAAUCAAGAACGAAAGUUAGGGGAUCGAAGACGAUC